ACGCUGGCCGCGUGCCUAAUACUUGCAAGUCGAGCGGACAGAUGGGAGCUUGCUCCCUGAUGUUAGCGGCGGACGGGUGAGUAACACGUGGGUAACCUGCCUGUAAGACUGGGAUAACUCCGGGAAACCGGGGCUAAUACCGGAUGGUUGUUUGAACCGCAUGGUUCAGACAUAAAAGGUGGCUUCGGCUACCACUUACAGAUGGACCCGCGGCGCAUUAGCUAGUUGGUGAGGUAACGGCUCACCAAGGCAACGAUGCGUAGCCGACCUGAGAGGGUGAUCGGCCACACUGGGACUGAGACACGGCCCAGACUCCUACGGGAGGCAGCAGUAGGGAAUCUUCCGCAAUGGACGAAAGUCUGACGGAGCAACGCCGCGUGAGUGAUGAAGGUUUUCGGAUCGUAAAGCUCUGUUGUUAGGGAAGAACAAGUGCCGUUCAAAUAGGGCGGCACCUUGACGGUACCUAACCAGAAAGCCACGGCUAACUACGUGCCAGCAGCCGCGGUAAUACGUAGGUGGCAAGCGUUGUCCGGAAUUAUUGGGCGUAAAGGGCUCGCAGG
Molecule: ribosomal RNA, 560 nt
Filed under: Bacillus sp. Ni17
Lineage: Bacteria; Bacillati; Bacillota; Bacilli; Caryophanales; Bacillaceae
Description: bacterial SSU rRNA
Rfam family: Bacterial small subunit ribosomal RNA
Source: RNAcentral